GUAGGGUGCAAGCGUUAAUCGGAAUUACUGGGCGUAAAGCGUGCGCAGGCGGUUAUGCAAGACAGAGGUGAAAUCCCCGGGCUCAACCUGGGAACUGCCUUUGUGACUGCAUGGCUAGAGUACGGUAGAGGGGGAUGGAAUUCCGCGUGUAGCAGUGAAAUGCGUAGAUAUGCAGAGGAACACCGAUGGCGAAGGCAAUCCCCUGGACCUGUACUGACGCUCAUGCACGAAAGCGUGGGGAGCAAACAGGAUUAGAUACCCUGGUAGUCAACGCCCUAAACGAUGUCAACUGGUUGUUGGGAGGGUUUCUUCUCAGUAACGUAGCUAACGCGUGAAGUUGACCGCCUGGGGAGUACGGCCGCAAGGUUG
Molecule: ribosomal RNA, 369 nt
Filed under: uncultured bacterium
Lineage: Bacteria
Description: bacterial SSU rRNA
Rfam family: Bacterial small subunit ribosomal RNA
Source: RNAcentral